ACCCGACUGCUAUUUGGGUGAGAAUAAGCCAUGCGAGUUGAAUGGGAUACCUAAAGUUCCCAUAGCAAACUGCUCAGUAACACAUGAUCAACUUACCCUAUAGAGAAAAAUAACCUCGGGAAACUGAGGAUAAUAUUUCAUAAUUGAAUUGGCUUGGAAAAGUUUUUCAUUGAAAAGGAUAAAAAAAAUAGGUUUUUAUCUGCUAUAGGAUAGGAUCGUGUUCGAUUAUGGUUGUUGGUGAGAUAAUGGCUCACCAAGCCGAUAAUCGAUAGGGGCCGUGAGAGCGGGAGCCCCGAGAUGGGUACUGAGACAACGACCCAGGCCUUACGAGGCGCAGCAGGCGCGGAACCUCCGCAAUACACGAAAGUGUGACGGGGUUACCCAAAGUGUUCAAUAGAACUGUGGUAGGUGAGUAAUGUUCCCUACUAGAAAGGAGAGGGCAAGGCUGGUGCCAGCCGCCGCGGUAAAACCAGCUCUUCAAGUGGUCGGGAUAAUUAUUGGGCUUAAAGUGUCCGUAGCCGGUUUAGUUAGUUCCUGGUAAAAUCGGGUAGCUUAACUAUCUGCAUGCUAGGAAUACUGCUAUACUAGAGGGCGGGAGAGGUCUGAGGUACUACAGGGGUAGGGGUGAAAUCUUAUAAUCCUUGUAGGACCACCAGUGGCGAAGGCGUCAGACUGGAACGCGCCUGACGGUGAGGGACGAAAGCCAGGGGAGCGAACCGGAUUAGAUACCCGGGUAGUCCUGGCCGUAAACGAUGCAUACUAGGUGGUGGUACGGCCAUGAGCCGUAUCAGUGCCGUAGGGAAACCGUUAAGUGUGCCGCCUGGGAAGUACGGUCGCAAGGCUAAAACUUAAAGGAAUUGGCGGGGGAGCACCACAAGGGGUGAAGCCUGCGGUUCAAUUGGACUCAACGCCGGGAAACUUACCAGGGGAGACAGCAGUAUGACGGUCAGGUUGACGACCUUACCCGACGAGCUGAGAGGAGGUGCAUGGCCGUCGCCAGUUCGUGCCGUGAGGUAUCCUGUUAAGUCAGGCAACGAACGAGAUCCGCACCUUUAUUUGCCAACAAGAAGUCACGACUUCGUUGGGAACACUAAAGGGACCGCCGUCGAUAAGACGGAGGAAGGAGCGGGCAAAGGCAGGUCAGUAUGCCCCGAAACCCC
This 1160-nucleotide ribosomal RNA is filed under the name uncultured archaeon. RNAcentral's name for it is "bacterial SSU rRNA". It matches the Rfam family "Archaeal small subunit ribosomal RNA", at positions 21 to 1165 of the family's 1478-position model. The record is from RNAcentral.